GCCGAUGUAGCUCAAUUGGUAGAGCAGUCCCUUCGUAAGGGAAAGGUUGUCGGUUCAAUUCCGGCCAUCGGCUCCA
This 76-nucleotide transfer RNA is filed under the name Candidatus Curtissbacteria bacterium RIFCSPLOWO2_01_FULL_38_11b. RNAcentral describes it as "tRNA-Thr". It matches the Rfam family "tRNA". Rfam says of the family: Transfer RNA (tRNA) molecules are approximately 80 nucleotides in length. Their secondary structure includes four short double-helical elements and three loops (D, anti-codon, and T loops). The record is from RNAcentral. Lineage: Bacteria; Candidatus Curtissiibacteriota.